RNAcentral lists this transfer RNA (95 nucleotides) under Bradyrhizobium iriomotense. RNAcentral describes it as "tRNA-Thr". Lineage: Bacteria; Pseudomonadati; Pseudomonadota; Alphaproteobacteria; Hyphomicrobiales; Nitrobacteraceae. The record is from RNAcentral.
CGAUGCCGGGCAGGGAUUCGAGUGUCUUCUCAACUUGGUGAGGUGAGGGACAAUGUUCAGGUCGAGUUGAUCGGCGGUGCGGCCGCCGGUGGCGC